GAACGCACCUUGCGCCCCUUGGUAUUCCGAGGGGCACACCCGUUUGAGCGUCGUGAAAUUCUCAACCUCCUCGGUUUCUUCUGGAGACUGAAGGAGGCUUGGACUUUGGAGGCCUUUGCUGGCGUGUCUCGCCAGCUCCUCUUAAAUGAAUUAGCGUGGUCCUCUUUGCCGAACCUCGACACGUGAUAAGAUGCUUCCGUGUCUCGGUUUCUGGCUCUGUUGCUUUUGGGACCCGCUUCUAACCGUCUGGACCUUGCGUCGAGACAAUGUUCGAGCUCGUAUCCCUUCUUGGGAAACCCCCUCGACCCCACGAACCCUUGGCCUCAAAUCGGGUGAGACUACCCGCUGAACUUAA
RNAcentral lists this small RNA (355 nucleotides) under uncultured fungus. Its description in RNAcentral is "eukaryotic LSU rRNA". The record is from RNAcentral. Lineage: Eukaryota; Fungi.